Molecule: ribosomal RNA, 464 nt
Filed under: uncultured bacterium
Lineage: Bacteria
Description: partial 16S ribosomal RNA
Rfam family: Bacterial small subunit ribosomal RNA
Source: RNAcentral
GACGAACGCUGGCGGCGUGCUUAACACAUGCAAGUCGAACGGAAAGGCCCUGCUUGCAGGGUACUCGAGUGGCGAACGGGUGAGUAACACGUGGGUGAUCUGCCCUGCACUUCGGAUUACGCCUGGAAAACUGGGCCUAUUACCCGUAAGUAGCGAGUUUUAGUGUGAUGGUUGGAAAGAUCUUGCGGUGUAGGAUGAGCCUGCGGCCUAUCAGCUUGUUGGUGGGGUAAUGGCCUACCAAGGCGGCGACGGGUAGCCGGCCUGAGAGGGUGGACGGCCACAUUGGGACUGAGGUACGGCCCAGACUGCUACGGGAGGCAGCAGUGGGGAAUAUUGCACAAUGGGCGCAAGCCUGAUGCAGCGACGCCGCGUGGGGGAUGACGGCCUUCUGGUUGUAAACUCCUUUCGCUAGGGACGAAGCUGUUGUGACGUUACCUAGAGAAGAAGCACCGGCUAACUACGUG